GGGAACCAGGUGCCCGCCUGGUUGAUAUGGUUGUGGACCCACUGGACCUUUUGGCUAUUGAUUCUCCUUACAGAUUAAAUGAUAUAUAUUACAUAAACAAACAGAUAAUCCCAGCAUUGCAGCGGGUAUUUGGACUUCUUGGUGCUGACUUAAACCAGUGGUUUUCAGAGAUGCCCCGCCCAGGAAGGGAUGCUUUUGCUAAGCGCCCGCCAUAUGCUACAAAUCCUCAACGGACCAGAAUUGAUUUUUACUAUCUUUCUAAGCAUUGUGUGCUAUGCGGAGAGUUGGUCCACACAUCAACACAUAUGUGCAACAAAUGUUCACAGAAGGAAACUGCUGCUGCAACGGCUGUAAUUGGAAGGACUUCAAAAUUGGAGAGGGAGAUGCAACACCUUGCUGCUAUAUGUCGACAUUGUGGCGGUGGAGACUGGCUUCUGGAUAGUGGUGUCAAGUGCACUUCCCUUGCUUGCUCAGUGUUCUACGAGAGGCGUAAAGUUCAGAAAGAACUACAGGGUCUGUCUGCUGUUGCAUCAGAUAAAGGUUUCUACACAAAAUGUAUGGUUGAAUGGUUCUGAACGUGUGCUCCCUUUACAUCUCGUAUUUGAUUAUGCGAUCUCCAAGUUAGAAUUCUCAAGUUUAAUGAGGACAAACAUUGCUGAUCUAACCUUAUUGUAUAGUUUGUCCAGCUUCUGACUUGCUUUACCCCCC
Molecule: unclassified non-coding RNA, 708 nt
Filed under: Hevea brasiliensis (rubber tree)
Lineage: Eukaryota; Viridiplantae; Streptophyta; Magnoliopsida; Malpighiales; Euphorbiaceae
Source: RNAcentral